GUGAAUUAAACAUGCUUGGUGUCUAUCGCUUCGGCAAGGCCUUGCUUAAAUCAUCACAUCCUAACACCUGUGAACUGUAGACGUAUGAUGAGGUCUAUUGGCCAAGUCAUCGUCUGCCCAUUUUUAACAAACAAUUAAUGUAACAAACGUAGUCUUAUUAUAACUAAUA
This 169-nucleotide unclassified non-coding RNA is filed under the name soil metagenome. Its description in RNAcentral is "partial internal transcribed spacer 1". The record is from RNAcentral.